This 385-nucleotide ribosomal RNA is filed under the name uncultured bacterium. RNAcentral's name for it is "bacterial SSU rRNA". It matches the Rfam family "Bacterial small subunit ribosomal RNA", at positions 355 to 732 of the family's 1533-position model. The record is from RNAcentral.
UGGGGAAUUUUGGACAAUGGGCGCAAGCCUGAUCCAGCCAUGCCGCGUGUCUGAAGAAGGCCUUCGGGUUGUAAAGGACUUUUGUCUGGGAGCAAAUACCCGGUGUUAAUAGCGCCGGGGGCUGAGAGUACCAGAAGAAUAAGCACCGGCUAACUACGUGCCAGCAGCCGCGGUAAUACGUAGGGUGCAAGCGUUAAUCGGAAUUACUGGGCGUAAAGCGUGCGCAGGCGGUUUUGUAAGCCAGAUGUGAAAGCCCCGGGCUCAACCUGGGAACGGCGUUUGGAACUACAAGACUAGAGUGCGUCAGAGGGGGGUGGAAUGCCGCGUGUAGCAGUGAAAUGCGUAGAGAUGCGGCGGAACACCGAUGGCGAAGGCAGCCCCCUGG